This 478-nucleotide ribosomal RNA is filed under the name uncultured bacterium. RNAcentral describes it as "partial 16S ribosomal RNA". It matches the Rfam family "Bacterial small subunit ribosomal RNA", at positions 28 to 523 of the family's 1533-position model. The record is from RNAcentral.
GACGAACGCUGGCGGCGUGCUUAACACAUGCAAGUCGAGCGGUAAGGCCUUUCGGGGUACACGAGCGGCGAACGGGUGAGUAACACGUGGGUGAUCUGCCCUGCACUCUGGGAUAAGCCUGGGAAACUGGGUCUAAUACUGGAUAUGACCUCAGCAUGCAUGUGCUGGGGUGGAAAGCUUUUGUGGUGCAGGAUGGGCCCGCGGCCUAUCAGCUUGUUGGUGGGGUAAUGGCCUACCAAGGCGACGACGGGUAGCUGACCUGAGAGGGUGACCAGCCACACUGGGACUGGGACACGGCCCAGGCUCCUACGGGAGGCAGCAGUGGGGAAUAUUGCACAAUGGGCGGAAGCCUGAUGCCGCGACGCCGUGUGAGGGAUGAAGGCCUUCGGGUUGUAAACCUCUUUCAGCAGGGACGAAGCGUGAGUGACGGUACCUGCAGAAGAAGCACCGGCUAACUACGUGCCAGCAGCCGCAGUAA